GAAGAGCCAUGAAGAGAUACCCCACCUCCAAGCUGCUUGGAUUUCCUUCCCCUGAUCUUGUCUACCUGGCCAAUCCUGCUCUUCUUUAAGAUUUAAUCUGGCUGAAACAACCUCAGCUCAGCCCCUGCGAGGCAGAGGCCAAACACAGCAGAAGCCCAACUCAGCAAAAGCUCCUGCGGUGGAAGCUGAAUGUGAAGAAAACCCAGUGCAGUGGAAAUGAUAAGAAGCCCAGCAUGCUGGAAACCGGGACAGAAAAAAUAAACUUAGCAGAAAGCUCACGUGGCUGUCUCAGAUUCCAGAAGACCUCCAGUUGGGAUAGGAAGUCCUCACCCCUAUGGCUGGAAGGACAUAUGGCUAACACAAUCUUAAUUCCUUUACAA
Molecule: long non-coding RNA, 380 nt
Organism: Bubalus bubalis (water buffalo)
Lineage: Eukaryota; Metazoa; Chordata; Mammalia; Artiodactyla; Bovidae
Exons: 3
Source: RefSeq, a predicted model, not a curated record